Molecule: microRNA precursor, 73 nt
Filed under: Schistosoma margrebowiei
Lineage: Eukaryota; Metazoa; Platyhelminthes; Trematoda; Strigeidida; Schistosomatidae
Description: mir-3492 microRNA precursor family
Rfam family: mir-3492 microRNA precursor family
Source: Rfam by way of RNAcentral
AGCUUUUCGAAUCCGUGCUGAGAUUUCGUCAGACACCAACCCAUUAGGGCUGAUCAGACUUUUAAGUGAAGUU